UCCACGCACUCCGCUCCCUCGCCUCCCUGCCGUGCGCUGCGUCGCCCUCCGUCACCCACGGUUCGAAUCCCUCUCCUCUCUUUUUUAAGCCCCUCUCUUCUCUCUUUUUCCUCCCCCAGAUACGGCGGCUCCUCCUUGCCGGCGACAGCUAGCUGCAGCGCUCGGGUAGUCGGGCGGGUCAGCGUGCGGCGGCACGGGUCCGCAACUACAGCGCGACGCGAGGAUGCGUGAGUCCGAGGCGGCGCGCGGCCGCGGCGCGCAGCCUCAUCCGCCGACUGCUCAGCGGGCUCUGCUCGGCCGCUUCGCACGCUCCGCUCGCACUGGCCGCCGCCAGAGACCGCCCGGAGACGCUGCCGAAGAAGGCCCGUCCGCCCGCCGAAGAACGCCCACACCCGCCCCCGUCGACGUCGCCCCCACAACCCACGGCCCGUCGACCCGCCGGCAGCAAGAUGGCCAGGAGGCGGGUGCCUCGUGCCCGAGGCCAGAGGCCCUUCCGCGUUAGGCGGCAGCGACAGCGGCGCGACAUCAUUCAUGGCAUCAUCUGGUGGGAAGUCCUCGAACGCCGCCGUGUCCACACGGCCGGUGUGUCCGCAGUGGCGCUGCAGGUGUGGCAAUCGCGCCGUACGCAAGUGUUAGUCCAACCAUAGUGGAUACGACACCUCCAUCCUGGAGCUCAGGUGUAACAUGUCGUGUAAUGUAAAUGGGGAACUUCCAAUCUGCCCACAAAUAACCGCAGGAGAGGUCCUACAUGAUUUCUCAUAAAGUAUAUUUAAGCUUUGCUAAAAUGAUCCUCUUGCUCAUUGCAGAGCAACACAAUAUCCUUUUCGUUGCACUUUUGAAUCUGAUUAGUUUGUCCAUAAGCCUGCAUGAUUUCUCAUAGUGUAUAUUAAGGCUUAACUGAAAUGAUGCCCUUCUCCUUGCGUAGCAAAAUAACAACCUAUAAUUGCAUUUUGAAUCUGAAUAUAGUUCGUUAAUCUUUCUGGUUUUUGAAGUUUGCUUGCCACUAUGUUUGUGAGCUGGGUUGACUAAUGCAGAUGAGGCAUUGAUGACCUUAGCAAAGUAUAGGUGAAUAUGCCUACCUUAACAUCUUCUUUUCUGCAUCCAAUGUAUAUCAGUGGAUUAUGUUGAUAGAUAAGAUUUUCCAGAUUACCCUUGCCACAAUGAGCCUCAUAAUUAAUCAUGGUAAAUAUUUAAGAUUAGUUGAAGGAAAUUGCUGGUUUCUAGGCUAUUAAGUUUGUUGUAGGACUGAGAUUUAGUUGGAAUUUUCCUGGAGUAAUUUUGUAGAACUAUUAGUACCUUUGCCUGCUGUUGCUGGAUGUUAUGUCUUGUGCGUGUCAGGUGCUGUCACGUGUGUCCCGACUCCCGAGUGUAUUACCGGUGAAUUAUCAGGUUCUUUGGAAAUACCCGUAGAAGUGCAUGCCAUGCCAUGGUAGAACUGCAGGGCUAGGAAGCUUGGAUUUACAAGUAGCUUUCAAAAAUCGUUGUACUAUUCAAAGUUUAUUAUUUGUUAACUCUUUUUUAUUAUAACCCAAAAUUGUGGUGAUUUGAACUUUAUUCUUUUCUCAUAAGAAUAAAUGUGGUCUUCUAUACAGUUUUCAUCACUUCAUUCAGGAUCAGCUUGUGAGACAAGGCCACCUCGGGAUGUCUUCCUUGAUGAUAGAUAGGGCCACUGUCGAGCAUUCUCGGAAGCAAUGUCAAAAAUUUAAUCAAAAAAUGCAUUGUAAUACUUUUUCGGUGUCCAUCUUUGAUAGGUUUUUUGGGUGGUCAUUUGCUGGCUCAUUACUAGAAUUCAAGUUUUGAUGAUAUCAUUGUGGUCAUGCUGUUCUUGGAAGUUUAUUUGGGAGAUACCAUAACAUGUCUUUUGGUUUGGAUUGCUUCAUUUUUUUGAAGUUUCGAUUGAUUCAUUGAUUGGGUUGUUACUAAAACA
Molecule: long non-coding RNA, 1927 nt
Organism: Panicum virgatum (switchgrass)
Lineage: Eukaryota; Viridiplantae; Streptophyta; Magnoliopsida; Poales; Poaceae
Exons: 2
Source: RefSeq, a predicted model, not a curated record